RNAcentral lists this unclassified non-coding RNA (305 nucleotides) under Hevea brasiliensis (rubber tree). The record is from RNAcentral. Lineage: Eukaryota; Viridiplantae; Streptophyta; Magnoliopsida; Malpighiales; Euphorbiaceae.
UAUGACGCCUCGUCCGACAUCAGCCAGACAACGGCAUUGGCGAUUUCAUCCGCGGUACCGACGCGCUUCAUCGGUAUCGUAUGGGCCAGCCGGUGCGCGCGAUCCGGCUCGCCGCCGCUGGCGGGAAUUUNNNCCCCGGGCGGAUGCCGUUGACGCGAAUGCCCUCGGCGCUGACUUCACGCGCGAGUCCGACCGUGAACGUAUCGAUCGCGCCCUUCGAGGCGGCGUAGUCGACAUACUGCGCCGGCGAGCCGAGCGUCGCGGCCACGGACGAGAGAUUGACGAUCACACCGCCGCUGCCGCCG